GUGCCAGCCGCCGCGGUAAUACAGAGGUGCCAAGCGUUAGGCGGAAUCACUGGGCUUAAAGCGUGUGUAGGUGGAUGCCUAAGUACCUUGUGAAAUCCCACGGCUUAACCGUGGAACUGCUCGGUAUACUGGGUGUCUUGAGCCAACUAGGGGCAGUCGGAACAAACGGUGGAGCGGUGAAAUGCGUAGAUAUCGUUUGGAACGCCAAUGGUGAAAACAGACUGCUGGGGUUGUGCUGACACUGAGACACGAAAGCCAGGGGAGCGAACGGGAUUAGAAACCCUUGUAGUCC
Molecule: ribosomal RNA, 292 nt
Filed under: uncultured bacterium
Lineage: Bacteria
Description: partial 16S ribosomal RNA
Rfam family: Bacterial small subunit ribosomal RNA
Source: RNAcentral